CAGAACUAUCAUGACAUUUGCGCACAGGAGGUGAAUAUAUAAAUUGUGAGACUGUAUGUAAAGGGUUUUUUUCAGUUGUGUAAGUUUCUACUUAAUUAAGAAUUCGGGCUGAUGUGGGGGACUGUUUAUUAAACUUUGGUCAUUGAUACAUAUAUGGGAACUGCUGAAUCACGGCCUGAACCUCUGAUUGAUCACCUGAUGGAGCAAUGAGUCAGCCACAGGAGCACAGGGGAAGGCAAUUCAGCUGUGCUGCUGGAAGGGGUGGAGCCUGGCUGCACCUCUCCUAAACCCCAUUUAAGAGCUGGCUACAAGUGGGGAAGGAUCUCUUUCUGGAGAUCCCUCCUUUUGGAGUUGUCUAGCAAGCCCCGGAUAAGGGGUCCUGUAGCUGCUACCAGAGAGCAGAGCUCAGCACUGCUUUCUGCUCCCUGUGAGGAGCUGCAGCUGCCUUGAGGGCUCCUCACAGCCUACUUUGCUCUGGGAGCAACAAACUUGGAGCUCUCAGACAUUCCUCCAGUGUCUUGCCCUCAAGACCCUUCACAGUCCUUAUAGCCCUCUGGAACUGGAGCGUUAACUCUUGAACUCUCAGGCCAUGGCCUCUCCUACCCAACUCAGCCCUGUUUUGGCUGUCAUGGAACACUUGUUGGGUCUCAUCACCGUCUCCUUACGAUAUCACAAGUCACAUCCCUGCCAACCACUAUAAAUACAGAGGUGCUGACAACAGAACACCAGUUGCUGACUGACUUUUGUCUGGGAAGCACAUGCUUGAGACCAGGAGCUUUUUACCUAGAUCCUUCCCCCCCAUUCUAGGAAUUUUUGUGGAGGAGGAUGGAUUCUUCUCCACCGAAGAAGCUCCAGCUUCUAGAGAGCAGCAGCAAGCUCAAGCCAAUGCAUGUAGACCCACUGGAGGGCAAUGUUGAGCCCAUGGAGGUGUACCUACCUCCACAGGGUGAACAGAUGAAAGUAGAUCUAUCGCUAUCAGGCCUGGGCAAGCACAUCAUGCUUGCCCAGAAACAUCUCUAUAUCCAUUGGUGGUGCAGCAGGAGCUCUCUAUUUCUAUCUUGGUGUUGAAGAGUCGCCGAAGAGCUUCUGCUCUCUAGAGUCCUUUUUUUUCCUCUGUCCCCCGUCCUCAUCCUUCCUUGAGACCUCUCACCUCUUCUUUCCCAAGCUCUGAGGAAAAGAGAAGGACUGAGACUGGUGUCCUCUAAGCUUCUGCACAGAGAAAACAGGAGUCCAGUGGAUGGCCCCCAGCUCUCUGUGGCCUCCAUGCAAGUCCCAAGGAUGAGGGCAGGACUGAGACUGGUGUUGUUAUGCUUCUGUACCACGACAAUGGGAGGCAUCCAGUGGAUGGCCCUGAGCUCCCUGCAGCCUCUAGGUGAGCCCUCAAGAAGAGGCUGGGACUGGGAUGGGGUCCUCUGAGUUGCUGUGUAAAGACAACAUGUGGAGUCUAGCCCUGAGUCCCUGCAGCCUGUAGGCAGUCUUGAAGAAGAAAGCAGGACUGGAUCUGGUGUCCUCAAAACUGCUGUGCUGGGACAAGAGGAGUCCAGUAGAUGGCCCUGAGAUCCUUGAUGCAAGUGCUAAAGAGGAAGGCGCGACUGGGACCGGCAUCCUCUGAGUUGCUGUGUUGGCACAAUAGGAAUAGUCCAGCAGGCAGCCCCAAGCUCUCAGUGGACUCUAGGAAAGCCCUGAGGAAGAGAGCAGGACUGGUAAUAGCAUCUUCUAAGCUGCUGUGUCAGGUCCAGGAGGAAUCAAUUAGGCAGCCCCAAGCUCCCUGUGGCCUUCAGGCAGCAUCAGAGAAGGUACAGAGGCAGCUUUCUGUUGGAGAAGCAGCAGACUUUGAUUUGGACAGGAAGAAGGACUCAAGUUCAGCAUAAUUCCAGUUGCUCCAUAAGGACUUCUAUUUCAAAACUGGACAAUGUUUAAAAGAACAAUACAAAAUAACAACGAUAAGAAAAACUUUGUUUCUUUUUUUCUGAAACAGAGCCAGUAAGUUUACUGUUUUUGGUACUUCAGAGUCUGCCUUGAGUUUCCUGGGUUUGUUUCCCCAGAAGGAGCAACUCUGCCCCUUAGGAAGGGGCUUGGGCACAUGGCAGCCUGGCAGGCUGUGGGCAUGGCCUUUGCUCAGCACUGGGCACAGAGGGGUGAGGAGGGAUGGAGGGCUGUGGAAUUUUACUGAAGGGGGCUGUGUAAAAUAUUUGAUUACAAUCGCACUUGAAAAAGUAGAAAAAAAAAAAUAAAAAAAAAAUUGAAAAUGCAAAAAUACUUGAAAAAGUAAAAAUCCUUUAAAAUGUUGUUUUCGUCUAAAAACCAUUUUGAAGACAGUGUAUGAGAAAGAAAUAUGUUUUGUGAAAUUGUUUCAUAUAAUAUGCACACAAGGUUCUCAUACCUAUUUUUAUUGAGUAACAAUAUCUGUUUUUACAGAGGUUCCAUCAUGAAAUGAGAGAGGGGAAAAUGGAGACAGGAAAGAAAACACGACAGAAGAUGAUAUUUGAACAGCUUGUUAAUUGAGGGGGUGGACAAAAUCCAGUCAUGCUCUUAAUUUGAAGUAUCUUGCUUUGCUUCUGUCUUCUGUAGAGUAAAUUUAUUAACUUAUUAAUAGGAUUUAUUUGAGAGCACUGCGCAUCUGUUCUGUUUUGAAGCUGCUACUCGCUAUAUGCUUAGACCCUUGGUAGCAAGAAAUAAGUAAUCAUAUUGGAUAUCCAAAAUGGCAACGUAUGAACAGGGCACGGUCAAGAAUCCCUUAGGAGUUUAGUUUUUAUGGAACUUCAACAUUUUUGUGCUGUAGAGAGAUAGUAAUUCUAAAACUUGAAGGAGCUGGGGUGGGAAGAGUGGGCUGAUGGCUACAUCUGCACAGGGAAGAAUAUUUUGGUUAUAAUUCUUGGGCGUCUGCCCAGCCACCUCUUCUUCCCACCUGCAGCAUUGCUCUCAGAAGGCAAAUCUAAACACUGUCAUCAGCAACAACAAGACAGCUCUCAGCAACUUUGUUCUGCAUCUUUCUCUAUUGCAGUAGGGGAAGAGAAGCUUGCAUCUGCUAUCUCCAAAGAGACCAGCAAGGGAGCUUGGUCUGCCUACUGAGAACAACUCUGCAGAUGCACCAGAUUUCAUUUUAUUGUAAUACCAAGUCAGCUUGCUGUUAUCACUCUAUGGCAUAACAAAUGAUAGUGUUUCAGGAGACUAUUUAAGAGUCUGUGUUAUAAUAAAGCAAGCUUCAAUGCUUU
Lagopus muta (rock ptarmigan) is the source of this 3215-nucleotide long non-coding RNA. RefSeq lists it as uncharacterized. The record is from RefSeq and is a predicted model, not a curated record. NCBI's taxonomy places the organism in Eukaryota, Metazoa, Chordata, Aves, Galliformes, Phasianidae. The transcript has 2 exons.